AUGACUGGCUUCCUGAAGGCCUUGCUGUUGGUUCUGUGCCUGCGGCCAGAAUAAGACUAGUGGCCAGCAAGUUAAACAAAGCUCUCCAUCGCUGACUGUUCAAGAGGGAGGGAUAUCGAUCCUGAAUUGUGACUACGAGAAUGAUAUGUUUGACUAUUUUGCCUGGUACAAAAAAUACCCUGACAACAGCCCCACACUCCUGAUAUCCGUACGCUCAAAUGUGGAUAAGAGGGAAGACGGAAGACUCACAGUUUUCUUGAACAAAAGCGGCAAACACUUCUCACUGCACAUCACAGCCUCCCAGCCUGAAGACACAGCAGUGUACCUCUGCGCAGCAGGUG
Mus musculus (house mouse) is the source of this 341-nucleotide non-coding RNA. The record is from the annotation of a RefSeq genome assembly. NCBI's taxonomy places the organism in Eukaryota, Metazoa, Chordata, Mammalia, Rodentia, Muridae.